CUUCUGGCGCCAGAGUCACUGUGCUGAUCACCAGCCACAGAAAUCACUUGAUGAGAUGGAAGGAUGCCCUGCUUUCCCCACAAAGCCUUUUUAAAACACAGUGUGGUCCUGUAUCCAAUUUCCCCUGGACUCUCGGGAAUCCCUGACUUGUAAGGGGCCUUUGGCUCGAGAUUUCUUAAGAUAAUCUCCUUUAAGUCAAAGAUAUGUCUGCGGUGGAAUUUAGCUGUUUUGGUUGAGGCCAGAUUCCCUCUGAAGAAUAAAAGGACCACCGGAUAAUUGAUGUUUAUUAACUACUUCUGUGGCAUAACUGAGAGAGAGAACAUGCCUUGAAGCCCUCAGCAGGUGCUGCUUUCUGGCUCGGGGGCCACUGGGACCACAGGAUUGUUCCAAGUUCCACCAUUGCCUAUCUAGGUGCAUCCCCUGGACCUGCCCCACGUGACUACUGCAUAUAUGGUUUCGAGCCACUGAGAAUAGUCAUGGAUCUGCCUGACUUGGUGGAGGAGAUUCCAAGAGGACAGUGGUCGUGA
Molecule: long non-coding RNA, 527 nt
Filed under: Ursus maritimus (polar bear)
Lineage: Eukaryota; Metazoa; Chordata; Mammalia; Carnivora; Ursidae
Description: lncRNA (ENSUMAG00000024875.1)
Source: RNAcentral